GCCGGGGUGGCGGAACUGGUAGACGCAGCCGGCUUAAAACCGGCUGUCCCUUCGGGACGUGGGGGUUCGAUCCCCUCCCCCGGCA
This 85-nucleotide transfer RNA is filed under the name Thermoleophilia bacterium. RNAcentral's name for it is "tRNA-Leu". It matches the Rfam family "tRNA". Rfam says of the family: Transfer RNA (tRNA) molecules are approximately 80 nucleotides in length. Their secondary structure includes four short double-helical elements and three loops (D, anti-codon, and T loops). Further hydrogen bonds mediate the characteristic L-shaped molecular structure. tRNAs have two regions of fundamental functional importance: the anti-codon, which is responsible for specific mRNA codon recognition, and the 3' end, to which the tRNAs corresponding amino acid is attached (by aminoacyl-tRNA synthetases). tRNAs cope with the degeneracy of the genetic code in two manners: having more than one tRNA (with a specific anti-codon) for a particular amino acid; and 'wobble' base-pairing, i.e. permitting non-standard base-pairing at the 3rd anti-codon position. Lineage: Bacteria; Bacillati; Actinomycetota; Thermoleophilia. The record is from RNAcentral. RNAcentral also lists the same sequence under 1 other name.